Molecule: non-coding RNA, 791 nt
Organism: Osmia lignaria (orchard mason bee)
Lineage: Eukaryota; Metazoa; Arthropoda; Insecta; Hymenoptera; Megachilidae
Source: RefSeq, a predicted model, not a curated record
UAUUAGUAAAUUAAUUUGUAUAGCUUCUCAAGGAACCUCAAGUCACUUGGUCCCAUUUUAAACGAGGUACUCUGUUUUAAAUGGUUUACAAAUACUUUUUGGACCCACUGUAUCUAAACAUCAUGUGAAUGUGACUGGGAUUUCCUCGAAGCAUCAUACGGGCAGUAUAUCUCUUAUGACAUUAACUAUGACCUACAUAAAUGUCCACCUCUUAAAAACCGUCGGCUAUAAAAGUCUGGAAACAUUUUGCAAAUGUAACCUGUCUGAUCUCGACGAUCUACCAACAGACGACUUUCAAUCCAAUUCUUCAUCAUGGAAUCUUUAAGAAGAGUCUUUACCAUCUUCAUAGCAAUCUUUUGCGUGUUUGCAUCGAUGAUCGCUAUCGAGGCAGCUACGCGCGCUGUUCCAUCAGGGGCUAUAACAGCGUAUCCCAUUCCUCAAAGGCCGCCGUAUGCACCGCAUCCUUGGGUCUAUCCGAAGCCAACCACUCAAUCCACUCCUCAAUGAACAUUUCUAUCCAAUUUAGUUGGAAAGAUGGGAAGAAUGCUGCAGAUGUAAUCCUUACUGCCGGGAUUCGUUCUGUAAUAAUUACAAGUUUGCUGUAGUUUCGUAAUACGAUAUUGAUUUAGUAUGUUUUUGUCAUUGAAAUUCUCUGUACAGAAUUACGCAGCGCGACGCGAACGUUGUGAAUCCUAUUUUUAACCAAAGAUUUAAUGUUUUAUGAUUAAACAGAAAUUAUAUAUAUUUUGUUUCAAUAUUAAGGAUAUUAUAAAUAAAACAUGCUUACCGUA